This is a non-coding RNA of Helianthus annuus (common sunflower), 108 nucleotides long. NCBI's taxonomy places the organism in Eukaryota, Viridiplantae, Streptophyta, Magnoliopsida, Asterales, Asteraceae. The record is from Rfam.
AUACCAUGAUGAGGGCAAUUCCUUUGAAGCUCCUUAAACCUAUCCCAUGUGUCUGAGAAACUUUCAUCAUCUUUUUGCUUAAAACUGUAUAUAUUUCUACAUAAGCGA